CUUGUGAUUCUGUGAUUUGUAACGCAAAAACCCUAAUUUUUCCAGGUCUUUUUAUAGUAUACAGAAGACGAUAGAUUCAUGGAACAUCAAGCAAUGCAGAGGUGCAGCUGGCCAUAUAUGACAAGGCAAUUGUGAAUGUACAGGAGAGGUAGCUCCAGAGGAGAUAAGGUUGCCUUCUCUUUCACUUUGGUUCAUCUACAAUGUACUACUGGUAAGAACCUUGCCUUCUGGCCAUAAACCCAUAAAAGGAAAAGAAGAAGGAAAAGACAGAUACAAACACAACUGGUAAAACCAACAGGUGUGUAUGCAGAUGGUCACCGCUUAGUAACUGCAGCCAGCUUCCCAUGACAUAACACGACUACUUGAAAUAUGCAAAGGAGCCUGCAAGUUUCAAACAAGACGGAGAUGAGGCUGAGUUUAUCGAGCAGACAUGGAGCCACAUUUUCAAAAGGGAGAAUCAUGCUUUACUGCUUUUCCUGAUACCAUCUGAUGAGCCCCACUGUUAAGUCUGUAGAGAUGCUUUCUGUUCAUUACUUCUCAGGACAAUGUGCAAAACAUGCAUUCUACAUGACUUAAAGACCAUCACCACCCCACCAAUUCCUUUUCCUCUCCCUGGCUGAUAUUUAUGACAACAAGCCUCAUGGAGAGAUGUGAAGAUCUCAAAAGUUUGCAUACAUAUUUGUGCUUUCACAUUGGCUUAUAAAGGCAU
Molecule: long non-coding RNA, 709 nt
Filed under: Pogona vitticeps (central bearded dragon)
Lineage: Eukaryota; Metazoa; Chordata; Lepidosauria; Squamata; Agamidae
Description: lncRNA (ENSPVIG00000018013.1)
Source: RNAcentral